Molecule: transfer RNA, 65 nt
Filed under: Histeroidea sp. 3 KM-2017
Lineage: Eukaryota; Metazoa; Arthropoda; Insecta; Coleoptera
Description: tRNA-His
Source: RNAcentral
AUUUAAGUAGUUUAAUUAAAAAAUUUUAAUUUGUGGAAUUAAAGAUAAAUAAUAUUUCUUAGAUA